Molecule: ribosomal RNA, 404 nt
Filed under: Actinomycetes bacterium
Lineage: Bacteria; Bacillati; Actinomycetota; Actinomycetes
Description: Actinobacteria bacterium partial 16S ribosomal RNA
Rfam family: Bacterial small subunit ribosomal RNA
Source: RNAcentral
UGGGGAAUAUUGGACAAUGGGCGCAAGCCUGACCCAGCCAUGCCGCGUGAGUGAUGAAGGCCCUAGGGUUGUAAAGCUCUUUCACCGGUGAAGAUAAUGACGGUAACCGGAGAAGAAGCCCCGGCUAACUUCGUGCCAGCAGCCGCGGUAAUACGAAGGGGGCUAGCGUUGUUCGGAUUUACUGGGCGUAAAGCGCACGUAGGCGGACUAUUAAGUCAGGGGGGAAAUCCCGGGGCUCAACCCCGGAACUGCCUUUGGUACUGGUAGUGUUGGAUUAGAGAGAGGGGAGUGGAAUUCCGAGUGUAGAGGUGAAAUUCGUAGAUAAUCGGAGGAAAACCAGUGGCGGAGGCGGCUCACUGGCGCGAUACUGACGCUGAGGUGCGAAAGCGUGGGGAGCAAACAGG